AUGCAUGUCUAAGUAUAAGCAAUUAUACCGCGAAACUGCGAAUGGCUCAUUAAAUCAGUUAUCGUUUAUUUGAUAGUACCUUACUACAUGGAUAACCGUGGUAAUUCUAGAGCUAAUACAUGCUGAAAAUCCCGACUUCGGAAGGGAUGUAUUUAUUAGAUUAAAAACCAAUGCCCUCACGGGCUCUCUGGUGAUUCAUAAUAACUUCUCGAAUCGCACGGCCUUGCGCCGGCGAUGGUUCAUUCAAAUUUCUGCCCUAUCAACUUUCGACGGCUGGGUCUUGGCCAGCCGUGGUGACAACGGGUAACGGAGGGUUAGGGCUCGACCCCGGAGAAGGAGCCUGAGAAACGGCUACUACAUCCAAGGAAGGCAGCAGGCGCGCAAAUUACCCAAUCCCGACACGGGGAGGUAGUGACAAUAAAUACUGAUACAGGGCUCUUUUGGGUCUUGUAAUUGGAAUGAGUACAAUUUAAAUCCCUUAACGAGGAACAAUUGGAGGGCAAGUCUGGUGCCAGCAGCCGCGGUAAUUCCAGCUCCAAUAGCGUAUAUUAAAGUUGUUGAGGUUAAAAAGCUCGUAGUUGAACCUUGGGCCUAGCCGGCCGGUCCGCCUCACCGCGUGCACUGGCUCGGCUGGGUCUUUCCUUCUGGAGAACCGCAUGCCCUUCACUGGGUGUGCCGGGGAACCAGGACUUUUACUCUGAACAAAUUAGAUCGCUUAAAGAAGGCCUAUGCUCGAAUACAUUAGCAUGGAAUAAUAGAAUAGGACGUGUGGUUCUAUUUUGUUGGUUUCUAGGACCGCCGUAAUGAUUAAUAGGGACAGUCGGGGGCAUCAGUAUUCAAUUGUCAGAGGUGAAAUUCUUGGAUUUAUUGAAGACUAACUACUGCGAAAGCAUUUGCCAAGGAUGUUUUCAUUAAUCAGGAACGAAAGUUAGGGGAUCGAAGACGAUCAGAUACCGUCGUAGUCUUAACCAUAAACUAUG
Molecule: ribosomal RNA, 980 nt
Filed under: Farrowia longicollea
Lineage: Eukaryota; Fungi; Ascomycota; Sordariomycetes; Sordariales; Chaetomiaceae
Description: SSU rRNA
Rfam family: Eukaryotic small subunit ribosomal RNA
Source: RNAcentral